Molecule: unclassified non-coding RNA, 379 nt
Filed under: uncultured Oligoflexales bacterium
Lineage: Bacteria; Pseudomonadati; Bdellovibrionota; Oligoflexia; Oligoflexales
Description: contains 16S-23S intergenic spacer region
Source: RNAcentral
UCCGUGUUAACCACGGCAGUCUCUCUAGAGAGCCCAACUGAAUGCUGGCAACUAAAGAUAAGGGUUGCGCUCGUUGCGGGACUUAACCCAACAUGUCACCACACGAGCUGACGACAGCCAUGCAGCACCUGUCACCCGGCAGUAUUGCUACUGAAGCCCUAUUUCUAGGGUUGUCCGGGGAUGUCAAACCCAGGUAAGGUUUUUCGCGUUGCUUCGAAUUAAACCACAUGAUCCACCGCUUGUGCGGGCCCCCGUCAAUUCCUUUGAGUUUUAGUCUUGCGACCGUACUUCCCAGGCGGGGUACUUAGUGCGUUAGCGCCGCUUCGGCGGGGGUCAAGACCCACCAAAGCUAGUACCCAUCGUUUACGGCGUGGACUAC